CCUACGGGAGGCAGCAGUGAGGAAUAUUGGUCAAUGGGCGAAAGCCUGACGCAGCGACGCCGCGUGAGGGAUGAAGGUCUUCGGAUCGUAAACCUCUGUCAGCAGGGAAGAACGGUCACUGUGUUAAUCAGCAGUGAAUUGACGGUACCUGCAAAGGAAGCACCGGCUAACUCCGUGCCAGCAGCCGCGGUACUACGGAGGGUGCGAGCGUUAAUCGGAAUUACUGGGCGUAAAGCGCUCGUAGGCGGUAUGUCAAGUCAAGGGUGAAAUCCCCGCGCUCAACGUGGGAACUGUAUUUGAAACUGGCAAACUGGAGUGUGUGAGAGGAUGGUGGAAUUCCAGGUGUAGGAGUGAAAUGCGUAGAUAUCAGGAGGAACAUCAGUGGCGAAGGCGACUAUCUGGCACAUAACUGACGCUGAGGAGCGAAAGCGUGGGUAGCAAACAGGAUUAGAUACCCGGGUAGUC
This 465-nucleotide ribosomal RNA is filed under the name uncultured bacterium. Its description in RNAcentral is "partial 16S ribosomal RNA". It matches the Rfam family "Bacterial small subunit ribosomal RNA", at positions 338 to 795 of the family's 1533-position model. The record is from RNAcentral.